GACGAACGCUGGCGGCGUGCUUAACACAUGCAAGUCGAACGGAAAGGCCCUGCUUGCAGGGUGCUCGAGUGGCGAACGGGUGAGUAACACGUGGGUGAUCUGCCCCUUACUUUGGGAUAAGCCUGGGAAACUGGGUCUAAUACUGGAUAGGACCAUGCUGUAGGUGGUGUGGUGGAAAGAUUAGUUUCGGUAAGGGAUGAGCUCGCGGCCUAUCAGCUUGUUGGUGGGGUAAUGGCCUACCAAGGCGUCGACGGGUAGCCGGCCUGCGAGGGUGGACGGCCACAUUGGGAAUGCGUAACGGAGCAGACUGCUACGGGAGGCAGCAGUGGGGAAUAAUGUACAAUGGGCGCAAGCGCGAUGCAGAGACGGCGCGUGGGGGAUGAAGGCCUUCGGGUUGGAAACGACUAUCAGCGAUGACGAAGCCCCUGUGGUGACGGUAGUGGUAGAAGAAGGACCGGCUAACUACGUG
RNAcentral lists this ribosomal RNA (469 nucleotides) under uncultured bacterium. RNAcentral describes it as "partial 16S ribosomal RNA". It matches the Rfam family "Bacterial small subunit ribosomal RNA", at positions 28 to 507 of the family's 1533-position model. The record is from RNAcentral.